UACGGGGGGGGCAAGCGUUGUUCGGAAUUACUGGGCGUAAAGGGCUCGUAGGUGGCCAACUAAGUCAGACGUGAAAUCCCUCGGCUUAACCGGGGAACUGCGUCUGAUACUGGAUGGCUUGAGUUCGGGAGAGGGAUGCGGAAUUCCAGGUGUAGCGGUGAAAUGCGUAGAUAUCAGGAGGAACACCGGUGGCGAAGGCGGUUCUCUGGGCCUGUUCUGACGCUGAGGAGCGAAAGCGUGGGGAGCGAACAGG
This 253-nucleotide ribosomal RNA is filed under the name uncultured bacterium. RNAcentral describes it as "partial 16S ribosomal RNA". It matches the Rfam family "Bacterial small subunit ribosomal RNA", at positions 524 to 776 of the family's 1533-position model. The record is from RNAcentral.